Panicum virgatum (switchgrass) is the source of this 1055-nucleotide long non-coding RNA. RefSeq lists it as uncharacterized. NCBI's taxonomy places the organism in Eukaryota, Viridiplantae, Streptophyta, Magnoliopsida, Poales, Poaceae. The record is from RefSeq and is a predicted model, not a curated record. The transcript has 2 exons.
CCUCGCCUCCCUUCCUCUUCGUGGCCAGCCCCCACCACCGGCGGCGCCCCUUCCACGGCUCCAUGCAACCCCGUCCCCUAUCCCCGUCAGCCCAUGGUAGAGAGGCACACGAUGGUGGCCGAUGCAGGUCCUGCGGAGCUCCGAGCCCGGCGUGGAGGCAGCGCCCAGGUGAUGCCCGGAAUAGCACCGCGCCGCACCGAGAUGCUGCCGCAGUCGAUGGAUUCGGGGGUGGGAUCGAUGGAUCCGAGCUGCUACCACGCAUGGACGGAGCCAUGGUGGUCGAGCAGGUUCCCGAUUUGAUUGCCAUGGACCCGAUUCGACCGUAGCGGUGAUGGGGGUGGAGUCCCGGAGGAGGGGCGUGCUGCACGGGCCGCGGCGGUGUCUAACGAGUGGGUGAGGUGCCUGACUGGUUGAGUGCCGGACAGGCUGUGGCUGCUGCGCGCGCCGCCAUGCAGCGCUCCUCCCAUGGCGAGCUGAUGCGGCACCCGGCGCUCAUGGAUCCAGCCACGGCACUACUCUCUGUGAGCGCCUCAGCGCCUUCAUCCGGCUUCAAUUCGUGCGCUCUGCAUCAAGCUCGUCUGCAACCUUGUGCUCCUCCCGACGCUUGUGCUCCCAUGGCAGCAAGGAUGGUCCUUUUUUGAAAGUUACAAAGAAGCUAGAGUCGGCAGUACUUCAGGAGGAGCUUGAAAAGAUUGAAGGCGCAGACACAGGAAUUUGAUGCGAAAGUGGAAAAACAAGCUGAGGAGAUUGAGAGCCUGAGGAAGAUGGCAGCAGAUACUACUCAGAGUCUCCUUCGACAAAUGAUAGCAUUCUGGAACUCUUUUGUAUGGGUUGGAAAAUUAAUUAUGGCUGGAAUGUAUGAUUUGUUAUGGCUGGAAUGUGAUUACAAUGUAAUAUGGGCUACAAUUGUAUUGUUGGUCUAUAAUAAAAAAUAUUACAAGCAAAUUUGUAGCUGGGUCAAAGAAAAAUAUUGGGCCAAUUGGCCUAACUGUAAUUGUAUAUGAAAAAAGCCCAUUGUCAUAUGGGCUGAAUAUGAAUUGUCAUGUCAUUUGUCA